UACGUAGGGGGCAAGCGUUGUCCGGAUUUAUUGGGCGUAAAGAGCGUGUAGGCGGCCAAGCAGGUCCGCUGUGAAAACUCGAGGCUCAACCUCGAGACGUCGGUGGAAACCGUUUGGCUAGAGUCCGGAAGAGGAGAAUGGAAUUCCCGGUGUAGCGGUGAAAUGCGCAGAUAUCGGGAAGAACACCCGUGGCGAAGGCGGUUCUCUGGGACGGUACUGACGCUGAGACGCGAAAGCGUGGGGAGCGAACAGG
Molecule: ribosomal RNA, 253 nt
Filed under: uncultured bacterium
Lineage: Bacteria
Description: partial 16S ribosomal RNA
Rfam family: Bacterial small subunit ribosomal RNA
Source: RNAcentral